GGGCUCGUGUGGUAACGGAUAUCCUAUUGGGCUUCGGACCCAAUGAUCCGGGUUCGAUUCCCGGCGAGCCCA
Molecule: transfer RNA, 72 nt
Filed under: Halobacteria archaeon
Lineage: Archaea; Methanobacteriati; Methanobacteriota; Halobacteria
Description: tRNA-Arg
Rfam family: tRNA
About the family: Transfer RNA (tRNA) molecules are approximately 80 nucleotides in length. Their secondary structure includes four short double-helical elements and three loops (D, anti-codon, and T loops).
Source: RNAcentral